This 754-nucleotide long non-coding RNA is filed under the name Strigops habroptila (Kakapo). RNAcentral's name for it is "lncRNA (ENSSHBG00005015592.1)". Lineage: Eukaryota; Metazoa; Chordata; Aves; Psittaciformes; Psittacidae. The record is from RNAcentral.
GGCCAUGCCGGGCGACGGAGCGGGAUCGGACAUGGGGUGAUGGCCUCAUGAAUUGAUGUCUCCAGCAGCACUGCUCAGUGGGUGACAAAUGGGAUGCAUCCCCAUCAGGGCAUAAAGAACAUCCAAAGGUGGAGCAGGCAACCAAGCCUGUCCCAGGGAGGCACUGAGCAGACAUGGACCCAGAGGCCCCAGAGACCAGCUGGGGUGCCAGGGCAGAGAUGAUUGUCGGGAAAUUGGUUUGAAGCAGCCUCAGCGUUUGCAAAGCCACUACAUCGCCCUGCUGGAAGCUGUUCUUUGUCACCGUAUCUGCAGAAGCCUUCACCGCAGAGAUGCUGUGCUCCGCUCGCCGCCUGCAGGCAGUGCCUCCCCGCUCCCCCCUGCGUGGCCUGCCUGCUCCCAGAUGUUUCUUCCCUCCUGCCCGGCUGCACAGAGCUUCGUCCUUCUGCGUAGGCUCCAUGGCUCUGCAGCGCUCAGCAGGACAUGGUCCUCACCCAGUGCUGGGAGCCCCGAACCGAGCUGAGCCACGUUUGGGUCAGUGACUCCAGAGGUGUUUUGUGCUGCUUGCCCUGCCGGUGCUGCCUUCGGGCACGAGGUGCCGGUUCACCCUCGAACGCGCGUCCAUCAUCCCACCCGGCCCAGCGCAGGGCGACAAACCGAACUGCGGCGUCAAACCCGAUCUGGCGCGGGCAGAGCUGUGUCAGUGUCUGCCGUGGGAGCAGAAGCCAUCACAUGAGUAUAAAUCCUUCCUCCUCCG